GACGAACGCUGGCGGCGUGCUUAACACAUGCAAGUCGAGCGGUAAGGCCCUUUCGGGGGUACACGAGCGGCGAACGGGUGAGUAACACGUGGGUGACCUGCCCUCAGCUCUGGGAUAAGCCUGGGAAACUGGGUCUAAUACCGGAUAUGACUCCAUGACGCAUGUUGUGGGGUGGAAAGCCUUGUGCGGCUGAGGAUGGGCCCGCGGCCUAUCAGCUUGUUGGUGGGGUGANGGCCUACCAAGGCGACGACGGGUAGCCGGCCUGAGAGGGCGACCGGCCACACUGGGACUGAGACACGGCCCAGACUCCUACGGGAGGCAGCAGUGGGGAAUCUUGCGCAAUGGGCGAAAGCCUGACGCAGCGACGCCGCGUGAGGGAUGACGGGCC
RNAcentral lists this ribosomal RNA (388 nucleotides) under uncultured bacterium. RNAcentral describes it as "bacterial SSU rRNA". It matches the Rfam family "Bacterial small subunit ribosomal RNA", at positions 28 to 417 of the family's 1533-position model. The record is from RNAcentral.